UGCAGCCUCGUCAAAUUCAGUGCUUGCCUAUCCCAUGGCAAGGACUGGCCCUAAUGGCUGCAACAGUAACACUGUAGCUCAUGGGCCCCAUGGCUCCAUCUAUGGGCCCUGGGGAUAAAUAAAGUGCUACAGACACUG
This 138-nucleotide small nucleolar RNA is filed under the name Sphenodon punctatus (tuatara). RNAcentral describes it as "Small nucleolar RNA SNORA5 (ENSSPUG00000017154.1)". It matches the Rfam family "Small nucleolar RNA SNORA5". Rfam says of the family: ACA5 is a member of the H/ACA class of snoRNA that guide the sites of modification of uridines to pseudouridines. Lineage: Eukaryota; Metazoa; Chordata; Lepidosauria; Sphenodontia; Sphenodontidae. The record is from Rfam by way of RNAcentral.